Long non-coding RNA from Polyodon spathula (Mississippi paddlefish), 2070 nucleotides. RefSeq lists it as uncharacterized. The record is from RefSeq and is a predicted model, not a curated record. The transcript has 3 exons. Lineage: Eukaryota; Metazoa; Chordata; Actinopteri; Acipenseriformes; Polyodontidae.
CUCAGAGUGGAUUGACAGGCGGAAGAGCUGGUUAGUUUUCAUCCUGACAGUCAAGCAGCACGUCAGUUUCAGGUUGGGGUUGUUAUCGCUUUGUUUAAACAGGUGAAACCCCGUGUUUUUGAAAGGUAUUUCCGAUUUCAGCCUGAGGGUGGCGCUACAGACCCUCCUGAAAGAAUACACAGAAGUCAGCAAGUCACCUAAAGAGAACAAGAUGUUCAGCGUACUUCAGCCAGCCAAGAUCAGGCCCCGAAGAAAGGCAAGAAAAUAUCUUUACGCCAUAGGAGGGUACACUCGUCUGCAAGGGGGGCGCUGGAGUGACAGCAGGGCACUGAGCUGCGUGGAGCACUUAGAUUCCUUCAGCCAGUACUGGACCACAGUGUCCCCUCUGCACCAGGCCCGCAGCGGGCUCGGGGUGGCAGUGCUGGGGGGCAUGAUAUACGUGGGCUGGUCCAUUUCACAAAUACAUCAACGGAAGAGAAAGAGAAGAGGCUCUGUAGCGGAUGCUAGCAUUGGUCACAACUUGUUCAAAAGGUUGCAAUGUAAUUUACUACUAAGAAUGCACAGAAGUGUGCUGAUUGACAGCGAACUGAAAACAACGGGCCAUAAAACUUGGGGGGUAGAUUCAGCUGAAACAAACAGAAGCACUUGCUUAAUUUCUGGCGGCACGCUAUUAAAUUUCCAGAUAUAAAAGGGCACCCGACACCCCCCCCCUUGCACCAGCAAAAACAUCACAAACUGCACAGUCUGUUAGCUCUUAGUAUAAAGUAAAACACAUGUAUAUAGUGUGGCACUGGAGUUUGCUUAAAUGCUGCUGGAUAACAGGGAACUGAUGUGGAUGCUGUGCUUUUCAGUUACGCAGAUGCAUUUGCUAAGAAAGAGAAGAUAGAGAAUAUAACUAAAUAACAGGGUUUGUGAAUAGAGCUCAAAGUGUUUACAUGAGGGAAGAGUGAUAAAUGCAUUCCUGGUUAGUCAGACAUUCACAGUGAUUAGAUGUGUACAGAGUUUCUUUUAUUGUUUGCUGUGUGAUAAAUAACUACUCACUGUACACAGUACAGGAUGUCUAUACAUCACGUUCAAGCAGUGUCCCAUGGGUCACAGUGUUGCGCAUUCAUGUCAUCUAUUCCUAAUGUAACCUCCAGCAGCUUGGUCUUGUGCAACCACCAGCAAUUACUGUAGAAAAGGUCAUUUCUGUAUCUGAGGCAGAUGCUGUUAAUUCACAAAACCUGUAAGGAGUGUUUUCAUGACUGCUCUGCAAAGGACAGUUUUUUUAUUGAAAUCAGGUUUUCAGAGCACAGGAGGACCUGUUUUCAAGUUAGAAUCUGUCAAAUGUUUAUAAAUCCUCUUUAAAAAGAAAAGAAACACAACUGAAAGUGUUAUUUUGUGAACAGGCCCAGGUAUUAUGCAAGGAAAAGAAACAUUAGUCUGGCCCUCCAUUGAGGUGAGCCUGUGGUUGCAUGCAGUUUGAACAUUUUUAUGGUAACACCCCAAACUUCACUUUGAAUCUUAGCUUUGCAGUUUACGGCAUGGGAAUAAUCAACCUUUAUUUUUUUUAUCAGUAUUUCCUUAUUGACUCCCACCUUUUCACUGAAGGACCAUGCUUGCUUUAUGAAUACACUCUUUAAGGUUAUAAGUAGGGGUUUAAAUCAAUUUGAGAGUUAUCUUCCAAGUUAGUUUUACUCGAUUCAAUUAUUCAUCAACCAGUUAAUGAAAUCAAAUGCAACAAACAUGAAAUAUAAAAGACAUCCUUCUCGCGAUAUACCUUAAAUCAGCUUAAAAUUGAAGAAUGUAUUUUACUGAAACAGUCGCAUGGUAUUUAUAAAGAUUAAUCAAGCAUUCACGUUAAAGCCCAGGUUAGUUAGAUUAGGGAUUCCCACACACAUACAAAAUGUUUUCUCCCAAAAGACCCAGACAAAGAAAUGCCACUGAACAGAACGAACACAGUAACACAAAGCAGUAACCAAUGCAGUAGCCAACAUAGUUUGGAACCAGAGUUAGAGGACACUUUAUUAUUUUAUUUUUAUUUUUAAAAUUAAAAAAAAAUAAUUAUCUGUCUAUGUAGUUUUGAAACAA